Molecule: transfer RNA, 75 nt
Filed under: Chlorobiota bacterium
Lineage: Bacteria; Pseudomonadati; Chlorobiota
Description: tRNA-Val
Rfam family: tRNA
About the family: Transfer RNA (tRNA) molecules are approximately 80 nucleotides in length. Their secondary structure includes four short double-helical elements and three loops (D, anti-codon, and T loops).
Source: RNAcentral
GAAUCCCUAGCUCAGUUGGUUAGAGCGCUACGUUGACAUCGUAGAGGUCACUGGUUCAAAUCCUGUGGGGUUCAC